Molecule: ribosomal RNA, 460 nt
Filed under: uncultured bacterium
Lineage: Bacteria
Description: partial 16S ribosomal RNA
Rfam family: Bacterial small subunit ribosomal RNA
Source: RNAcentral
CCUACGGGAGGCAGCAGUGAGGAAUAUUGGUCAAUGGGCGUAAGCCUGAACCAGCCAAGUCGCGUGAGGGAUGAAGGUUCUAUGGAUCGUAAACCUCUUUUAUAAGGGAAUAAAGUGCGGGACGUGUCCCGUUUUGUAUGUACCUUAUGAAUAAGAGUCGGCUAACUCCGUACCAGCAGCCCCGGUAAUACGGAGGAUCCGAGCGUUAUCCGGAUUUAUUGGGUUUAACGGGUGCGUAGGCGGCCUUUUAAGUCAGCGGUGAAAGUCUGUGGCUCAACCAGAGAAUUGCCGUUGAAACUGGAAGGCUGGAGUAUGUGUGAGGCAGGUGGAAUGCGUGGUGUAGCGGUGAAAUGCUUAGAGAUCACGCAGAACCCCGAUGGCGAAGGCAGCCUGCCAGGCCAUGACUGACGCUGAUGCACGAAAGCGUGGGGAUCAAACAGGAUUAGAUACCCGGGUAGUC